Molecule: ribosomal RNA, 440 nt
Filed under: uncultured bacterium
Lineage: Bacteria
Description: partial 16S ribosomal RNA
Rfam family: Bacterial small subunit ribosomal RNA
Source: RNAcentral
CCUACGGGUGGCAGCAGUGGGGGAUAUUGCUCAAUGGGGGGAACCCUGAAGCAGCGACGCCGCGUGGGGGAAGAAGCUCCUCGGAGUGUAAAGCCCUGUUAGUAGGGAAGAAAAUGACGGUACCUGAAGAAGAAGCACCGGCUAACUACGUGCCAGCAGCCGCGGUAAUACGUGGGGGGCAAGCGUUAUCCGGAUUUACCGGGCGUAAAGGGGGCGGAGGCGGCGGAGCAAGUCAGGAGUGAAAGCCCGGGGCCCAACCCCGGGACUGCAUUUGAAACUGCGUGGCUGGAGUGCAGGAGGGGCAGGCGGAAUGCCUGGUGUAGCGGUGAAAUGCGUAGAGAUCAGGAGGAACACCGAUGGCGAAGGCGGCCUGCUGGACUGCAACUGACGUUGAGGCCCGAAAGCGUGGGGAGCAAACAGGAUUAGAUACCCUUGUAGUC